This 253-nucleotide ribosomal RNA is filed under the name uncultured bacterium. RNAcentral describes it as "partial 16S ribosomal RNA". It matches the Rfam family "Bacterial small subunit ribosomal RNA", at positions 524 to 776 of the family's 1533-position model. The record is from RNAcentral.
UACGUAGGGGGCAAGCGUUGUCCGGAUUCAUUGGGCGUAAAGAGCGUGUAGGCGGCCAGGUAGGUCGGUUGUGAAAACUGGAGGCUCAACCUUCAGAGGUCGACCGAAACCAUCUGGCUAGAGUCCGGGAGAGGAGAGUGGAAUUCCUGGUGUAGCGGUGAAAUGCGCAGAUAUCAGGAAGAACACCCGUGGCGAAAGCGGCUCUCUGGAACGGUACUGACGCUGAGGCGCGAAAGCGUGGGGAGCGAACAGG